Molecule: ribosomal RNA, 500 nt
Filed under: uncultured bacterium
Lineage: Bacteria
Description: bacterial SSU rRNA
Rfam family: Bacterial small subunit ribosomal RNA
Source: RNAcentral
AGAGUUUGAUCAUGGCUCAGGAUAAACGCUGGCGGCGUGCUUCAGGCAUGCAAGUCGAACGAACAGUCCGGCUUCGGCCGAACUGUUAGUGGCGGACGGGUGAGUAACACGUAAGUAACCUGCCCGGAAGUGGGGAAUAACAAGCCGAAAGGUUUGCUAAUACCGCAUGUGAAGGCUCUUCCUCGGGGGAGUCUUGAAAGGUGUAAAUCGCUUCCGGAGGGGCUUGCGGUCGAUUAGCUAGUUGGUGGGGUAAUGGCCUACCAAGGCGACGAUCGAUAGCUGGUCUGAGAGGACGGUCAGCCACACGGGGACUGAGAUACGGCCCCGACUCCUACGGGAGGCAGCAGCUAGGAAUCUUGGGAAUGCGCGAAAGCGUGACCCAGCAACGCCGCGUGGGCGAUGAAGGCCUUCGGGUCGUAAAGCCCUUUUGCAGGGGACGAUAGUGACGGUACCUUGCGAAUAAGCCACGGCUAACUACGUGCCAGCAGCCGCGGUAAUAC